Molecule: ribosomal RNA, 86 nt
Filed under: Mucochytrium quahogii
Lineage: Eukaryota; Bigyra; Thraustochytrida; Thraustochytriidae
Description: labyrinthulid quahog parasite QPX partial Bacterial small subunit ribosomal RNA
Source: RNAcentral
GAGUUCAAGUGGUCCAAAACAAGUGGAUUACUUGGACUUGGAUCGAAAAUAUGUAAUGCACCCGUACACGUCCAUGACAGAUCCUC